RNAcentral lists this long non-coding RNA (359 nucleotides) under Vitis vinifera (wine grape). Its description in RNAcentral is "long non-coding RNA (VVIN_LNC005071)". Lineage: Eukaryota; Viridiplantae; Streptophyta; Magnoliopsida; Vitales; Vitaceae. The record is from RNAcentral.
UGAAGUUUUAGUAGGUGCUCAUAACCAAGCUCUGGAAUCCAUCCUGACAGUUGAAAAUUCAAGUAGAACAUCGAAGGACCCAGUACCUGAAAAUGAAUCCAAUAAAGAUCCCACUUCAAAUUCAGAAAUGAUCCAUACUCAGCAUGACUCAGAGCAUAAUAUCUCCCUAGAGAUAACAGAAAAACAAGGAAGAUUAACUCAAGAUGAAGAAAGAGAAAAAGGAAGCAUUGGAAAAGAAGUUUACAUGUCAUAUUUGACGAUUGUGAGAGGCGGGGCUCUAGUUCCAAUCAUAAUCUUGGCACAGUCAAUGUUCCAAGUAUUACAGGUAGCUAGCAACUACUGGAUGGCAUGGGCUUCUC